RNAcentral lists this long non-coding RNA (638 nucleotides) under Medicago truncatula (barrel medic). RNAcentral describes it as "long non-coding RNA (MTRU_LNC005948)". Lineage: Eukaryota; Viridiplantae; Streptophyta; Magnoliopsida; Fabales; Fabaceae. The record is from RNAcentral.
AAAAAUCAAACAUAAAAAAGACAAUAGUAUCGAACACAACUACCAAUGUAAUAGUAUCAAACUUCAAAUAAACUAACGCAGGAAUUCGUCUACGACAUACUUAGUUAGCACCACCAAAAAACAUGACAAUAGAAUUCACCAUCGCAGCGAGGUCCUCAAAAUCAUCAUGCACAGAAACAUCAUUAAUAAGUUUCUUCACAUCAACAAGCAAAACCUCAUAAACUCCAGUCUAUUCCUCUAUUUUUUUUAUUUGUCAUCUCAGGGUCUUUCUCAGCCUUCUUAAUUUUAAGACCUGACCUUGGCUAAUUCACCACCAAUAUCAAAUCACUCAUUUGCAACCUUCCUAAGGCCCUCAAUAUUUGGUGGAUCCACAACAAAAAUGUCUUCAUCAUCACCAUCACCUUCAACAGAUGGGUUUAUCAAUUCAAGGUAUUCGUUGUAAUUAGUUUCAAGUUUUGAAUAAUCAUCAUUCAACUUCUUUAAAAAAGCAUCCGCAGACCUUCUCAUAAGAUACUUCUUGUAUCGCUCAUCCUUCUUCACUUUGUGUAGUUUAUCUCGCCCAUAUUGAAGUGCACUUUAUUCAAGUGCACCAUGGUAUAAAGCUACAAUUUCUUUGGUUGUUCAUUUGCGAGCCAUCU